ACUUACGGUCACACCAGUGUGAAUGUGCCCGAACUCUUCUGAUCUCGGAAGCUAAAACACGCUUGGUCUCGGCCAGUACUUGGAUGGGAGACCACCUAGGAGCCCUGAGUGCUAUAAGCU
Molecule: ribosomal RNA, 120 nt
Filed under: Erpetoichthys calabaricus (reedfish)
Lineage: Eukaryota; Metazoa; Chordata; Cladistia; Polypteriformes; Polypteridae
Source: RNAcentral